RNAcentral lists this unclassified non-coding RNA (337 nucleotides) under soil metagenome. RNAcentral describes it as "partial contains 5.8S ribosomal RNA, internal transcribed spacer 2, and large subunit ribosomal RNA". The stretch from base 1 to 120 matches the Rfam family "5.8S ribosomal RNA", at positions 35 to 154 of the family's 154-position model. The record is from RNAcentral.
GAUGAAGAACGUAGCGAAAUGCGAUAAGUAGUGUGAAUUGCAGAAUUCAGUGAAUCAUCGAAUCUUUGAACGCACAUUGCGCCCCUUGGUAUUCCAUGGGGCAUGCCUGUUCGAGCGUCAUUUGUACCUUCAAGCUCUGCUUGGCGUUGGGUGUUUGUCUCGCCUCUGCGCGUAGACUCGCCUCAAAACAAUUGGCAGCCGGCGUAUUGAUUUCGGAGCGCAGUACAUCUCGCGCUUUGCACUCAUAACGACGACGUCCAAAAGUACAUUUUUACACUCUUGACCUCGGAUCAGGUAGGGAUACCCGCUGAACUUAAGCAUAUCAAUAAGCGGAGGA